Molecule: non-coding RNA, 378 nt
Organism: Microcebus murinus (gray mouse lemur)
Lineage: Eukaryota; Metazoa; Chordata; Mammalia; Primates; Cheirogaleidae
Source: RefSeq, a predicted model, not a curated record
GAGGCCUCAGCGGAGGAGGGUGUGUGGAGCUUCCACUUGCUCCCGUGGGCAGACUUUGUGAAAAGGCAGAGACAGAACACCUCAAAGGCACUUUCCUGUCUCCUAGGAGAGCUCCUCAUUGGCCUGUCCACGUUAAUGAAGCAGGCACUGAAAGAGGAAAUUGGCUGGAUUUGAGACACAGUAUCUAUUUUGGAGUAUUAGGUGGUUCGGGAAGAGAGAAAUGGAAAAAUACCUCAAGGGAAAGAGAAGACAUGAUGGGCAGUGGCUCAAGAACCAGAAGCAGCUGUUAACGCAAGUAUUUAUUUACCUGGGAGAAACACGACGGCAUCGCAACGAGAUGGCCAGGACUUUCCUGCGUCAUAAGGUGGUGCCUCAGAG